This 319-nucleotide long non-coding RNA is filed under the name Betta splendens (Siamese fighting fish). RNAcentral describes it as "lncRNA (ENSBSLG00000017951.1)". The record is from RNAcentral. Lineage: Eukaryota; Metazoa; Chordata; Actinopteri; Anabantiformes; Osphronemidae.
AUUUAGUAUAAAAAAUGUUCCUCUUGCCAUUACCAAAAUAGUUAAUAGUAUAUUAGUAUUUUAUAAAAUAUAUUAUUUGUCUCUCUAGGGUCCCAAAGGAAAAGCAGGGAUUCCAGGGGCAGCAGGAAAACCAGGCUUGCCAGGACUUCCAGGAGUGGAUGGUUUGACAGGACCCGAUGGCCCCGCUGGGAAGGAUGGACCCCCAGGUGAACCAGGUGAACCUGGACCAUCUGGACCUCCUGGACCUCCUGUAAGUACCACAUUCUAAGGAACACCUCAUUUUCUAAUUUUGACUAUCAAAAUGUUUUAAUGAAAAGGG